Long non-coding RNA from Anolis carolinensis (green anole), 9681 nucleotides. RefSeq lists it as uncharacterized. Lineage: Eukaryota; Metazoa; Chordata; Lepidosauria; Squamata; Anolidae. The record is from RefSeq and is a predicted model, not a curated record. The transcript has 2 exons.
UCCUCAUCAUCCUCAUCUUCAUCUUGCCCCAUGGUUCUGAUACAGCCACUGGAUGGGUCCGUAUGACUCAGCCUGGCUGAGAUGGCAUCAGGCAAGAAGGCAUAGCGCAGGUUUCCAUUCAAUGCCGCUCUGGGAUCCCAACAGCACCACACUCCCCAGUGGAUGAGCAUUCCUGUGGGAAGAAGAACAAACUAGAAGUGGAUCCAGGGACCAUGCCAACCUCCUCAAGUUGUGACAAGAUAUACAAUGCAAAGACAAUAUCAUAGCUAAUAACAAUAACAAACUGAGGGUGGGAAGGAGGGGAGAGCUCAAAGGCAACGGACCAGGGGAGCAGCCAUGUUAGUAUUUAGGCUCAGCUGGCAGACUGGAGUGAAUAAGUCUUCACUCCAGUCUGCCCCAGCUAUUCAAUCAGAGUGAACCACAAGGCUCACCCCAAUUCUACUCUUCAUGCUAUGAACGUGUGAAGACUCAGGGCUUGCUUUGAAGGAGAAGCCCAGUGAAGAUGACAGGCACCCACCACUACUAUUAUCCUGCCCAGUAAGUCUGACAGGGAAUAUAAGGUUAGACUUCCUACAAAGACAAAUGAAUGUGUCCUCAAAUUAAUUAAUUAAUUAAUCCUGAAUUAAUACUAGAAACCUAAAUAACUAAAAUGAAGUUUUUGUGUUUUGGCCAUAUCACGACAAGCCAGGACUCGCUAGAAAAGACAAUAAUGCUUAUAAAGUUAGAAUGCCUUGAUGACCGAAACCCAGAACACUUUCAAAUUUUAGCCAUACACUACUCCUGCCCUGUUUCAAGAAGAAAAUCAAAAAGAACAUUUUUAAAGCAAAACAAAAAUGUCUCUGCAUUCAUUGCAUUUGAAUACAAAGUGCUCCUCUUGUUUUCGAUUUCCAUUCCCAGAGCCUGCAAAGCAAUUUCAGACCUGAAUUAAAAGGCAUAAUGGAAGCGAGUCAGACGUCAAACGCAUCGCUCAAUACUGUGUGCUUGCUGCUCUACCUUGCAGAUGCCGGUGACAUUUCCGAGCUGGCAACAGAAGGUGACAGAUCGUGGCGGUGCCAAGAAGAGAUCUUGAUCGGAACGGUGACAUUCAGUGCAAAGCCAACCAGCAUCAAAAGCAGAAGGCAGACGCCUUAAUGAAAGGAGAACUUGGAAUCAAAAUAGCUCUACAUACACGAUGCAUUUGAUGGAGGAUUUUUUUUAGCGCUUUUGAAUUUGACUUCAGAGACCUUGUGUAAAAGGAGGACAUUUGCUUCCAAACUGCAGUGGGGUCUUAAUUCACUAACAAACUGCAGGUAUCCCUCCACAUUUUGCAGCUUUGGAUAUUCAUGGAUUUGAUUAAAUAAUUCUCUCUAGGAAUCUCUAGGUCCCACAAUGCAAUUCUCUGGUCAGCUUCCAGCAGAAAUCAGCCACAAAACUGUGCUGGAAGACCUAGAAAUUCCCAGAGAGGUGUGUGCUUAGAUUUUUUUUAAAAAAGUUGCUCCUUUUCAUGUGGAUGAAUAAUUACUAUAUACAGUAGAGUCUCACUUAUCCAAGCCUCGCUUAUCCAAGUUUCUGGAUUAUCCAGGCCAUUUUUGUAGUCAAUGUUUUCAAUAUAUCGUGAUAUUUUGGUGCUAAAUUCGUAAAUACAGUAAUUACAACAUAAUAUUACUACGUAUUGAACUGCUUUUCCUGUCAAAUUUGUUGUAUAACAUGAUGUUUUUGUGCUUAAUUUGUAAAAUCAUAACUUAAUUUGAUGUUUAAUAGGCUUUUCCUUAAUCCCUCCUUAUUAUCCAAGAUAUUCACUUAUCUUAGCUUCUGCCAGCCCGUUUAGCUUGGAUAAGUGAGACUCUACUGUAGUUUGUUUUAUUUUAUUAACUAGCUUGGGUACCCGGCAUUGCCCAAGUUAUUUGAAAAAGUCCUUUUUUCACAAAAAUGCAUAAGUUUGUGGGUUAAUUACAACUCACAUCAUGCCACAAUAACUUCCUGAAACUCCAUCAGUGGUUAAAGUUUGCCAUGUUGGGCAAGUUCGCUCUCUAGAUGCAUAAUCGGUGGGGUCUGUGGGGUCUCUGGCUGCAGGGUAAACUACAGUUCCCAUCAUGGUGGGUCAGUCCACCUCAGUUCCCCCCAGGAUGUUCAGUUGGUCAUGGUCCCGGUCUAUUGUUGGUGGUGGUCACGGUGUCUCAGGAUGUAGGUGAACUACAACUCCCAGAAAUGAAGGCCAGUUCCCCCAAAACCCUUCCAAUAUGUUCAGUUGGGUAUGGUGGUUUUGUGUGCCAAGUUUGAUCCAGGUCCAUCAUUGGUAGGGUUCACAGUGUCUCUGGUUGUAGGUGAACUAUGACUCCCAAAAAUUAAGGUCAAUCUCUCCCAAACACUUCCAGUAUUCAAAUUUGGAUAUAUGGGGUAUGUGUGCCAAGUGUGGUCCAGGUCCAUUGUUGGUGUGGUCCUUUGAUUGCAAGUGAACUAUAAAUCCCAGUAACUACAACUCCCAAAUGUCAAGGCCAAUUCCCCCCAAAACCUACCCAUAUUCAAAAUUCAGCAUACUGGGUAUGCAUGAUAAAUUUGGUCUAGAUCCAUAAUUAUUUGGGUUCACAGUGCUCUCUGGAUGUUAGCGAACUACAAUUCCUCUAAAUCAAAGUGAAUUCACCCCCCCCCCCAAGCUCUCUAGUAUUUUUUGUUGGUCAUGAGGGUUUUGUGUGCCAAGUUAGGUCCAGAUCUAUUGCUGGUGAGGAUCAGAGUUCUCUUUGAUUGCAGGUGAACUAUACAUCCCAGUACCUACAACUUCCAAAUGCCAAAGCUAAUUAUCCCCCAAAUCCCUCCAGUAUGUUCCAUUGGUCAUGGCUUUUCUGUGUGUCAAAUGUUUUCCAGAUUCAUUGUCAGUGGGGGGUCACAGUGCUGUGUCUUGAUGCAGGGUGAAUGUCGCACCUCAGGUUAACUUCACUUUGCUCAAUACACCAGACUGCACACAGGCUGAAGUCUUUUGUAGUUUAUUAGAAAAUAGAAGAUAAAAAGUUCUUUAAAAGCAAAAAUAAAGUUCCAAAAGAUUGUUACAAAACAAAGCCUUAAACAAUAAUCCAAGAAAUCACAAGGAAUAAAACAAAGUCCCAAUAGAGCAUGACAAAGUCCCAAGAACAUGAACACAAAGGCUGCAAGAUAAUCCAGGAAACGAGAGCUUGUUUCUUGGUUAAACGAAAGUUGCUUUGACAAAGAUUUGUCUCCAAACACACUGCUUUAAUACUCUUUGCCAAACAUGAAAGCAUUUCUUUGGCCUCUGACCUCCUUCUUAUUUGCUAUUCUCACACUCCUUCGAACCCUGAAUUUCAAACGGUCAGCUCGAUCUAAAAAUUCCAUUUCAUCAAGGUCAGUCAGCUCGUUAGCGUCAGCCUGCUUGCUAUCAGACUGAGAACUGUCCUCCUUUUCUGAGUCAUUUGCACCUGGCUAGUUUCAGUAUCAUCAACAUCAUUCCCUGCUGUGGGAAAAACUCCCUGUUCCUCUUCUUCUACAACAGGGACAUUCUGAACCUGAUUUUGAACCUGAAUCCCAUAAUCCCCAUCAGAGUCAAUCUGAGGUUCCAGCUGAGUCACAACAGUGAACUACAACUUCCAUCCUGUUGAGUCAGUCCCACAAACCCCUCCAGUAUGUUCAAUUGAUGAUUAAUUCCUCUCUGUUUGCAGUGAGCUAUAGAAAACAAUAGGAAAGGGCUAUGGGAGAGGCAAUGGGCAGGGUCAUGCAAAUUCCAAACCAAUGGAGAGAGAAAGAAACACUAGGAGGUGUCUUUGGUGGAGGAAAAACAGAAAAUCUAGGAUGAAAUUGUCCCCGCAUGAAAGCCUUCACUUGGGUGGUGGGCAGGAUGGUGUUUGCAGAGGACACUGGCAGAGCUCUUAGACAUGUUUGUGGCAUCCACUAUAACCUGCAAUGGUCACUGGAGAGAGGCCUAUUGGUGUCUCCUCAUAGGUGGAGGCGGGAUCCCUGCCACAUACACACAUACAGAUUUUCACUUUAAUUAUGUGUAUCGAUGUGUAUCCUGCCUCUCUUCCAGCAUGAGACCCAAGGUUGUAACCCUGUUAAAUCAAUGGAUUGCUAUCAAAAAUAAACAUAAUCAACAAUAUACUGUGUCUCUUAUAACUAUACAUGUAUUUGUAGUAUUUUGUACUGUCAGUGGAAUUUUGUGUAUAUCUGUUUUAAUCAAUGAUUCUGAAAGGAAGCUGUUUGUUGUCAAAGGCUUUCAUGGCCAGGAUCACAGGGUUGUUGUAUGUCUUUCGGGCUGUGUGGCCAUGUUCCAGAAAUAUUCUCUCCUGACAUUUCGCCCACAUCUAUGGCAGGCAUCCUCAGAGGUUGUGAGGUAUGGAGAAACUAAGUAAGGAAAGGAAAGAAUAUAUAUCUGUGGAGAGUCCAGGGUGUGGCAAGAGUCCUUCGUCACUGGGAAGCCAGCAUUAAUGUUUCAGUUAAUCACCCUAAUUAGCAUUGGAAAGGUUUUGUCUCUUGCCUGGGGGCAUCCUUUGUUCAGUCAUUAGCUGUCCUCUGCCCUCAGAGUGUUGGUUUGAAUUAGUUCAAGCAGAGUGUUUGUUGAGAAAAAUAUUGAGGAAAAAAUAUUAGAAAAUGCAAGAAUGUUAGAUAUGGGGGACGGAACGGAUUCAGGGUUCUGCAUUUGUUUGAUAGUUUUUGUUUUUAUCUACUUGUCCAUUAAACCUGAAGCACACACAUUGCUGACUUCUCAAAACCUCCUAGUAGCAGGACUCCAAAUGCAGAAAGUUCAUUUUGGCUGGAUCUACACUGCCAAAUAAUACAGUUUGAACCACAUUAUAGGAUCAGUAUAGAUCCAUACAAUGCAGCUCAGCGCAGUUAAAACAAUAUUAUUUGAGUCUUACUGUAUUAAGUGGCAAGUUUGGAUCCAGUCCUUCCCUCUUGUUGAGCAAAAUCCGUAAUACUGAAAUUAUACACAGUUACUGCCUGUUCUGGAGGUUAUCUAGAAUUCACCAUAUAAUUUUACAAGGUCUCAGCUUUCUCUGCCAAAGAGUGCUGAUGCCUCCCCAAACUCCAACUCCCAUGAUUGAAUAGCAUUGAACCAUUGAUGUUAAAAUAGUGUCAGUACAUUCAUUCUACUGUGUUGACACACUCCUAGUCUAUAGAGUAGCAGAAAGCAUGCUAAAUCCAUCUUCAAUAUGAUAUCCUUUCAAAUAUGUCAACAUGAUACUCAUGUCCAACCUUCUCUUCUCUAGGCGAAACAGACCCUAAACUGAGUUGUUGUGUGUAUUCCAGACUGUAUGGCCAUGUUCCAGAAGUAUUUUCUCCUGAGAUAUAUACCUCACAACCUCUGAGGAUGCCUGCCAUAGAUGUGGGUGAAAUGUCAGGAGAAAAUACUUCUGGAACAUGGCCAUACAGCCUGGAAAACACACAACAACCCUGUGAUUCCGGCCAUGAAAGCCUUCGACAACAUAUAGACCCUAAACUACUUCUCAAACAGAUUUAUGGUGUCUGGACCCUUCACCAUUUUUGAUGGUCCUUCUCUGGAUCUCCUUCCAACUCACUGGAAGUCCUUGGAAAGCAAAGGCUCUUCACUCACAGGUGAAAGAAGUGCCUUCUGAUGAGAUUAAUCCUGCAGUCCCAAGAAGGUCCCCUCUUGUGUUUCCAUCAGACGUACCUUGGAGGUGGUGGGACUCUGAAAAGGACCUCUUGUGAAGACCUUCAGAUUCAGGAAGACUCAUGUAAGGGGAUAUGGACUUUCUGAGUCUGGACUUAAGCCAUACUGUGCAUAUAGGUCCAUUAGUUAUCAAUUCUGCAAGGCAGUGGUUCUCAACCUGAGAUCCACAGAAGUUUUUGACCUACAACUCCCAGAAAUCCCAGCCAGUUUACCAGAUGUUAGAAUUUCUGGAAGUUGAAGGCCAAAAAUAUCUGAGGACCUCAGGUUGAGAACCAACACUGUAAGGGAAGGAGAACAAUCCAAUGUUCUCAACAUCUUUGGAGAACACAUCUCUGUAUGCUUUCCAAGCAAAGCUCAGUAGUUUCUCCCACAUCAAUUCCACAGCAACAUCUGUCUUCCAUCAACACUAAAUGGGGUCUGCAUUGUCUCAUCCUCCCACCUCUGGAGUUUUUUGAACCACCUCAAAGUCACUUCUUAAAAAGUUCCUCCAGGACAAGACAAGUCGGAAAGUUAGGAAAGCCAUAGAUAUUGAGUGGGCUGAAGGCUAAUAAAUUUCCAGGAGGUAAUCACCAAUCCUGUCCUGGACUAUGUCUGGCUGGAGAUUUAAGCGAAUUUCAUAUAUCUUUCCCUUUUUUCUAAAGAGGACAAACAGAAUUUAUUGUCCCUUUUACACAUACUGAGCCAAGGGAGUGGACUGCGCUGAGGGCAGAGAGAUGCGAUGGGAUGACAAUUUGAUGUGUGAUCAAAAAUACCUCAAAGCAAAUUUAAGUGAACGGAAGGAGUGAUAAUAAUGCAGUGCUUGUAGAGGAAAAAGCACUCAGGGCUCAUUAGUUUACAGAAAUAUUUUGUGUAGGUCACGUCUGCAGCAUAGAAAAGUUAUUUUAACUACUACAUUUCCCAGGAACUCCAAUGAUGGCCUCUGGGAUUCUGGGAUUUGUAGUCCAAAACUAACAUUUCCAAGUUCUUGUCAAAACCCAGAAGGAUGUCCCAAAUCUAUAUCUGAGAGAACAUCCAAAUUUCAGAAUUAUAACAGGUUGACACCACUUUUGUUACCAUUUUCCAUCAUUGGAGCAUUGGGAUUUAUAGUUUGCUGUUUGAGGGGGGAAAGGAAGGAGCCUAAGACUGUUAGGAAUUGUGGGAGUUGAAGUCCAAACACCUGGAGGGCCGAAGUUUGCCCAUGUCUACUGUGACACCAGAACUCUCUGACAGAGAAAGAUAAAUAUCUCACAAAACUAAAAAAAUAUCAGAACUCCAUAGCAUAGCAGUUAAUGUGGUGUCAAACUGCUAUAAUUCUUCAGUUUGAUGGAAUCCUGGCAUUUGAAGUUUUGUGAGCUGCCAGGCCUUUACUGUAAAUCAGGCAGUGGACUAAAGAUCUUGAAUAUCUCAAUAAACUAUACAUCCCAGGAUUCUGUAGUACGGAGCCAUGAUAGUUAAAGUUGUAUCAAACUGAGACAGCAUUACUACUAUCAUUGUGCCAAUAUCAGAAUCCUGCUAAAUAUCUCACAUUCUAAUACAAUAACCAGGAAAAUUGGAAAACUGGGAGCUCCUGGUGGCGCAGCAUAUUAAAGCUCUGAGUUGUUGAACUUGCAGAUCGAAAGGUCGCAGGUUCGAAUCUGACAAGCGGAAUGAGCGCCCGCUGUUAGCCCCAGCUUCUGCCAACCUAGCAGUUCGAAAACAUGCCAAUGUGAGUAGAUCAAUAGGUACCACUCCGGCAGGAAGGUAACAGCACUCCAUGCAGUCAUGCCAAUGGCCACAUGACCUUGGAGGUGUCUAUGGACAACGCUGGCUCUUCGGCUUAGAAAUGGAGAUGAGCACCAACCCCCAGAGUCGAACACGACUGGACUUAAUGUCAGUGGAAAACCUUUAAGCACUACCUAGGGAUCACAACCAGACACAAAUGAAGACAUCUGCCCUUGUGCUUUGCUACUCUGCUGCUGAAUACACAUGCCCAGUGUGGAAUGCAUCUUACCACAUUAAAACAGUGGAUGUGGCUCUUAAUGAGACAUGCCACAUUAUUACCAUUGGAAAAAUUGUACUGUUUAGUUGGGUAUUGCACCACCUGACAUCUAUCAGGAAGUAGCAGCCUUUUUUUUUCUGGCUACAGCCUUGACCAAGGCAUUGACAUCUCCAGCCCAUCCUCUGUUCGGAUAUCAGCCAGCAAGUCAACUCCUUAAAUCAAGAAAUAGCUUCCUAACACCUGCAGAGAUACUUGCAAAAACACUUCAACAAGCGAGAGUCCAAAAGUGUCAGGUUAAAACCCAGAACCUCAAUCAGUGACUGAGACCGGAUGAGAGACUCCUCCUGGGCACACAGAAGACUGGAUGACUUGGAAAGCACUGAACAGACUGCACUCUGACACAAUGAGAUGCAGAGCUAACCUUAAGAAAUGGGCCUACAAAGUGGAGUCCAUGACAUGCAAGUGUAGAGAAGAGCAAACCACAGACCACUAACUACAAUGUGGUCUGAAUCUUGCCACAUACACAGUGGAGGACCUUCUUACAGCAACACCAGAAUCACUCCAAGUGGCCAGCUACUGGUCAAAGGACAUUUAGCAUAAUGCCAAGUUUUUAACUUUGUCUGUGGUCUUUUAUAUAUUAUUGCUGUAUUCUCAAUUUGCUUCUGACAUGAUAAAUAAAAAUAAAUAAAUCAAACUGAGAUAGCAUUAUUUCUACGAAUUGUGCCAAUUUCAGAAUCUUGCUCAAUAUCUCACACUACAUUACAGUAGCCAGGAAAAUCAGGAAAUGCAGGUGGGGUCCAUGAAAACAAUAAACAAAGAACAAAAACAGAGAAUGUUUUAGAUGCUUAGAUCUGAAGUAAGGUUCUGCAUGGCCCUGAGGUGGCACAUGCAGGUGUCCCCUUCUCUUCUUCAUAUAUUUUAUAGUACUGUGCUAAGAAAACAAGCCUGAUAGAUGCACAAAACCCAAAAAUGUCCAAAAAUGUCAACUAUAUGGGGUCCAGGGGCAAAUUCCCCCCGGCUCCCCAAACAGGUUGCAGCCCCCAUAGACCCCGAAACCUCUAUUUCCUUCUUGUCAAUAAAAAGUGGAGGCCUUUAGGAUAAAUCCAAAAAGCAUUUGUCUGGCCCAAGAUCAUGCAGUUGAUUUCCAUGGGUUGAGUGGGGAUUCAAACUCUGCUCUCCAGAGAUGUAUGUAGCCCAACACUCCAAACUAUAUAAAUGUCAGAAAAGGGUUGACAUAACACUUCUUGCUAAACUGUGCUCGCUUUCCUGUAAAAGUUAUCUUGUCUCCCCUCUCCGCGACCUUUCUUGACAGCCCAUUUUGAUGGGAGAUUAUCCAAAGUAAUUUCGCUGAGAAGUCCCAGUUCUGCAGAGAGAACAGGUAAUGGCAGUAGUCUUGUUGACUGCAAUUUAUUUUGAAUUUGGGAUAAUUGGGAGAGUGCUCUUUCUCCUUCAGCAGUGGAAAAGUGGAGAGUUAGUGAAAUUCAUAACACUGCGGAAAGCCUUUAAUCUGGCAAAAAAAAAAAAAACCACCAAGACAAUUGUUAUGAAAAUUUCCUAGACAAUAAGCAAUAUACAGCCUCUGCUUUGAGAGGGAAGAAAGCCAUGGCUAUGUUCCAGAAGCAUUCUCUCCUGACAUUUCAUCCUGAGAGGUAUAUACUGUAUAUAUUUGAGAACACUGAAAUGCUGGACCACUCUAGCAAUUAUGAUGUCAGACUACACAGAGAAGCCAAUGAAAUCCACAAGCAUGUGGGCAAUUUCAACAGAAAGGAGGAAACCAUGAAAAUGAACAAAAUCUGGCUACCAGUACAGUAGAGUCUCACUUAUCCAACCUUCGCUUAUCAAACCUUCUGGAUUAUCCAAUGCAGUCUGUCUUUUAGUAGUCAGUGUUUUUGUAGUCAAUGUUUUCAAUACAUUGCAAUGUUUUGGUGCUAAAUUUGUAAAUACAGUAAUUACUACAUAAUGUUACCAUGUAUUGAACUGCUUUUUCUGUCAAUUUGUUGUAAAACAUGAUGUUUUGGUGCUUAAUUUGUAAAAUCAUAACAUAAUUUGAUGUUUAAUAGGCUUUUCGUUAAUCCAUCCUUAUUAUCCAACAUUUUCGCUUAUCUAACAU